Molecule: ribosomal RNA, 427 nt
Filed under: Campylobacter jejuni
Lineage: Bacteria; Pseudomonadati; Campylobacterota; Epsilonproteobacteria; Campylobacterales; Campylobacteraceae
Description: partial 23S ribosomal RNA
Rfam family: Bacterial large subunit ribosomal RNA
Source: RNAcentral
AAAGGUAAGCUACUAAGAGCGAAUGGUGGAUGCCUUGACUGGUAAAGGCGAUGAAGGACGUACUAGACUGCGAUAAGCUACGGGGAGCUGUCAAGAAGCUUUGAUCCGUAGAUUUCCGAAUGGGGCAACCCAAUGUAUAGAGAUAUACAUUACCUAUAUAGGAGCGAACGAGGGGAAUUGAAACAUCUUAGUACCCUCAGGAAAAGAAAUCAAUAGAGAUUGCGUCAGUAGCGGCGAGCGAAAGCGCAAGAGGGCAAACCCAGUGCUUGCACUGGGGGUUGUAGGACUGCAAUGUGCAAGAGCUGAGUUUAGCAGAACAUUCUGGAAAGUAUAGCCAUAGAGGGUGAUAGUCCCGUAUGCGAAAAACAAAGCUUAGCUAGCAGUAUCCUGAGUAGGGCGGGACACGAGGAAUCCUGUCUGAAUCCGG